GGAGUCUGGUCCGUGUCUCAGUACCAGUGUGGGGGACCUUCCUCUCAGAACCCCUACCGAUCGUUGGCCAGGUGGGCCGUUGCCCCGCCUGCGGCCUAAUCGGACGCAUCCCCAUCCCAUAGCGGUGAACCUUUGUUCCGAAUCAGAUGUCAUCCUCGGAAUACAUAGGGUAUUAAUCCGCAUUUCUACGGGCUAUGCCCUACUAUGGGGAAGGUUGGAUACGCGUUACUCACCCGUGCGCCGGUCGCCAUCUGUCAAAGCAAGCUUCGACAAUGCCGCCCCUCGACUUGCAUGUGUUAAGCCUGUAGCUAGCGUUCAUC
RNAcentral lists this ribosomal RNA (320 nucleotides) under uncultured Prevotella sp. RNAcentral's name for it is "partial 16S ribosomal RNA". The record is from RNAcentral. Lineage: Bacteria; Pseudomonadati; Bacteroidota; Bacteroidia; Bacteroidales; Prevotellaceae.